UACGUAGGUGGCGAGCGUUAUCCGGAUUUACUGGGCGUAAAGGGAGCGUAGGCGGGCUUUUAAGUGAGAUGUGAAAUACUCGGGCUCAACUUGAGUGCUGCAUUUCAAACUGGAAGUCUAGAGUGCAGGAGAGGAGAAUGGAAUUCCUAGUGUAGCGGUGAAAUGCGUAGAGAUUAGGAAGAACACCAGUGGCGAAGGCGAUUCUCUGGACUGUAACUGACGCCGAGGCUCGAAAGCGUGGGGAGCAAACAGG
This 253-nucleotide ribosomal RNA is filed under the name uncultured bacterium. RNAcentral's name for it is "partial 16S ribosomal RNA". It matches the Rfam family "Bacterial small subunit ribosomal RNA", at positions 524 to 776 of the family's 1533-position model. The record is from RNAcentral.